Molecule: ribosomal RNA, 497 nt
Filed under: uncultured bacterium
Lineage: Bacteria
Description: partial 16S ribosomal RNA
Rfam family: Bacterial small subunit ribosomal RNA
Source: RNAcentral
GAUGAACGCUGGCGGCGUGCCUAAUACAUGCAAGUCGAGCGAACGGACGAGAAGCUUGCUUCUCUGAUGUUAGCGGCGGACGGGUGAGUAACACGUGGAUAACCUACCUAUAAGACUGGGAUAACUUCGGGAAACCGGAGCUAAUACCGGAUAAUAUUUUGAACCGCAUGGUUCAAAAGUGAAAGACGGUCUUACUGUCACUUAUAGAUGGAUCCGCGCUGCAUUAGCUAGUUGGUAAGGUAACGGCUUACCAAGGCAACGAUGCAUAGCCGACCUGAGAGGGUGAUCGGCGACACUGGAACGGAGACACGGUCCAGACUCCUACGGGAGGCAGCAGUAGGGAAUCUUCCGCAAUGGGCGAAAGCCUGACGGAGCAACGCCGCGUGAGUGAUGAAGGUCUUCGGAUCGUAAAACUCUGUUAUUAGGGAAGAACAUAUGUGUAAGUAACUGUGCACAUCUUGACGGUACCUAAUCAGAAAGCCACGGCUAACUACGUG